CCUAAUACAUGCAAGUAGAACGCUGAAGAGAGGAGCUUGCUCUUCUUGGAUGAGUUGCGAACGGGUGAGUAACGCGUAGGUAACCUGCCUUGUAGCGGGGGAUAACUAUUGGAAACGAUAGCUAAUACCGUAUAACAAUGGAUGACACAUGUCAUUUAUUUGAAAGGGGCAAUUGCUCCACUACAAGAUGGACCUGCGUUGUAUUAGCUAGUAGGUGAGGUAAUGGCUCACCUAGGCGACGAUACAUAGCCGACCUGAGAGGGUGAUCGGCCACACUGGGACUGAGACACGGCCCAGACUCCUACGGGAGGCAGCAGUAGGGAAUCUUCGGCAAUGGGGGCAACCCUGACCGAGCAACGCCGCGUGAGUGAAGAAGGUUUUCGGAUCGUAAAGCUCUGUUGUAAGUCAAGAACGGGUGUGAGAGUGGAAAGUUCACACUGUGACGGUAGCUUACCAGAAAGGGACGGCUAACUACGUGCCAGCAGCCGCGGUAAUACGUAGGUCCCGAGCGUUGUCCGGAUUUAUUGGGCGUAAAGCGAGCGCAGGCGGUUUGAUAAGUCUGAAGUUAAAGGCUGUGGCUCAACCAUAGUUCGCUUUGGAAAC
Molecule: ribosomal RNA, 603 nt
Filed under: Streptococcus thermophilus
Lineage: Bacteria; Bacillati; Bacillota; Bacilli; Lactobacillales; Streptococcaceae
Description: bacterial SSU rRNA
Rfam family: Bacterial small subunit ribosomal RNA
Source: RNAcentral